RNAcentral lists this long non-coding RNA (1600 nucleotides) under Homo sapiens (human). RNAcentral describes it as "HSALNT0320416". Lineage: Eukaryota; Metazoa; Chordata; Mammalia; Primates; Hominidae. The record is from RNAcentral.
CCUGCCCUGCGGGGCUGUGCCUUCUCGCCUGGCUGCCUCCGCCUUUCUUGGGGGAAUGUCACGCUCGCGGCGCUUCUCCUAACAGCUAACCUUUGUGACAGCCUUUUCAGCCACGGGAGAGUUUUCUACAUUCCUUCUUUAUUUUGUCUUGGCGUUCCAUUUUGCAAUAACCCACCAAAUUAUUAUAACAUUGUCGGGGCGUUUACUAAAAUAUUCAAUAAAUGCUACAAGUUUGGGUAUUUGCUUUAAAAUUUUACAGUCCAAGAGAAAAAAAAAUGGAGAAGAGAGGUGAAAUAAGAUAGGCAAAAAGUUGAGGGUCGAAGCUGGGUGAUGGGUACUCGAGGCUGCAUUACAGUAUUCUUUCUAGUUCUGUGUCUUGGAAUUUUUCCAUAAUUUAAAAAAAUUCAGGAGGGACUGAAGGAGGGGCUUUUCAAUAAAAACUUAGCACGCUGAUGAGGGUACGUAAACAUCUAAUAAUUACGGCGUACCUCCAGAGGUUGUAGUGCUGUUGUUUUAAUGAAGACUCCCAGAGCUUCUUGGUCCUUGGUAACCCAUAAAUUAUCAUUUAUUGUUCAUUAUAAUUAGCGUUGUUAUUAUAGGCGACACGUCUCCCAGGACGGGACAAAAAGCAAACAAACCAGGUGCCUUAGGCCAGAGACACUUUCACACGGAAUAUCAAUGGGGCAUGUGGUUGACUGCCCUGGAACAUUUAUUUGUUUACUCUCUCCCUCCUAAAUUAGAAAAUACCAUAUUCGUGAGUUCUAAUCUACAUAAUCAGAUAGUCCCUGGGAAGAGAUUUCUCCUUUCUGUUCUUCUAUGUGUUUUCUGUGAAUUAUUUUGUUACUUGUGAAAUAUGGGAAGGCACACAACAUAGCUUUGGCAGCGCUCUUCUUUGCGGAGCAGCUAAGGAAUUUUAAAACUAGGUCCCUUUGCAUAUUAGCUCGGACUAAACACAGGCAUCUGUUUGGAGCACAGAGCAACUGGGGGAAGGCAGCCCAAAAAGCUAACACUUAUUUCAGAGAGGUGUGAGCUUGGUGAGGGUUUUGGAAAAUAAGAUAAAAUUAGCACACCAGUUUUAAAUGAUUUACAGGCUACAUAAUUUUAUCCAAUGCUUGUUUUAUCUUUUAAACAUUAAGUGAUAACUUUUAUUUGACAUAAUCAUCUUGCUGGAAAUCUAUGCUGAUAAACAUAAUAGGAGCAUGAAACUAACUUAGAGACUAGAGCUAAGAUUAAAAUUACAGAGAUGACAGCUCAUUGUACAGAGCAUCAAUAGGCUGAGUGGACAGGGCCCACAGACAGAAAGCAGCUCGACCAACUAUCCACCAUCAGAGAAAUGAAGAGUUUGUGAUCAAAGCAUGAAGGAGACUGGGGAUGUUUUUUUCAAGUAAGAAGGCAAAGACAGCCUCUUGAAUGAUGUGAACAGUGAUGGCUUUCUCUGAGAGUAAGACAAGAAAGCUUUGUAAAUGGCGUUGAAUUUCCUGCUCUUGGCAGGCCCUGCUCAGCACAGAAGAAAAGACUGAUCAAGUUGUCCAAGAUGGAGCCCUUUAUCCACGUUAGUCCACUUAUCUCUUUAAGAUUAAAGGAAAGCAAUCAUUAAAAA